RNAcentral lists this ribosomal RNA (497 nucleotides) under uncultured bacterium. RNAcentral describes it as "bacterial SSU rRNA". It matches the Rfam family "Bacterial small subunit ribosomal RNA", at positions 28 to 520 of the family's 1533-position model. The record is from RNAcentral.
GAUGAACGCUGGCGGCGUGCCUAACACAUGCAAGGUCGAGCGCGAUUAAGUGGAGUGAGAACUUCGGUUCAAGUGAAAUUUAUGAAAGCGGCGGACGGGUGAGUAACGCGUGGGUAACCUGCCCCAUACAAAGGGAUAGCCACUGGAAACGGUGAUUAAUACCUUAUAAGCCGGUAGUCUCGCAUGAGACAGCCGACAAAGAUUUAUCGGUAUGGGAUGGACCCGCGUCUGAUUAGCUAGUUGGUGAGGUAACGGCUCACCAAGGCGACGAUCAGUAGCCGACCUGAGAGGGUGGUCGGCCACACUGGAACUGAGACACGGUCCAGACUCCUACGGGAGGCAGCAGUGGGGAAUAUUGCACAAUGGGCGCAAGCCUGAUGCAGCAACGCCGCGUGAGUGAUGAAGGCUUUCGGGUCGUAAAACUCUGUCCUAUGGGAAGAAAAAAUAGACGGUACCAUAGGAGGAAGCCCCGGCUAACUACGUGCCAGCAGCCGCGG